Molecule: ribosomal RNA, 479 nt
Filed under: uncultured bacterium
Lineage: Bacteria
Description: partial 16S ribosomal RNA
Rfam family: Bacterial small subunit ribosomal RNA
Source: RNAcentral
GACGAACGCUGGCGGCGUGCUUAACACAUGCAAGUCGAGCGAUGAAGCACCUUCGGGUGUGGAUUAGCGGCGAACGGGUGAGGAACACGUGAAGAAUCUGCCUUCAACUCUGGGAUAACUCCGGGAAACCGGGGCUAAUACCGGAUAUGAGCCUUGGCCGCAUGGCCGGGGCUGGAAAGUUUUUCGGUUGAAGAUGACUUCGCGGCCUAUCAGCUUGUUGGUGAGGUAAUGGCUCACCAAGGCGACGACGGGUAGCCGGCCUGAGAGGGCGACCGGCCACACUGGGACUGAGACACGGCCCAGACUCCUACGGGAGGCAGCAGUGGGGAAUAUUGGGCAAUGGAGGAAACUCUGACCCAGCGACGCCGCGUGAGGGAUGAAGGCCUUCGGGUUGUAAACCUCUUUCAGUAGGGAAGAAGCGAAAGUGACGGUACCUACAGAAGAAGCACCGGCUAACUAUGUGCCAGCAGCCGCCGUAA